Molecule: non-coding RNA, 31 nt
Filed under: Homo sapiens (human)
Lineage: Eukaryota; Metazoa; Chordata; Mammalia; Primates; Hominidae
Source: RNAcentral
UCCUAGCUACCGGUGGCUUCUGCGGCCAAAA